UUCAAGUAUUGCCGAAGCUUCCAUUGCGAUUAAAAGAGUUGAGUGUAAGAAAUUGUCAAUGGCUGGAGUUGUUUUAUAACCAAAUGGACAUGUGGAUCACUUCAAAUGAAAAAUUAAGGAGCAAUAUUGAUUGCUCUGUUGUACAAGCUUAUAUUGAUUAUGAUGGAAAACCCUUCAAGAUCCUCCAUCUACAUCCACAAAGUCCUUUAUGGAGUGAAGAAAGUGUCGAAUAUUUUGAUGCUAAGGUAGCAUGCGGCCCUGCGUUGGUGGGAUCAGGAAUCCCAGAGUGGUUCAACGAUAAAAGCACUAAUUCCUUUGGAACAAUUCAAUUGCAUUCAGAUUUGGGCUCAGAUAUGAAUAGGGAGGGGUAUGCUCUUUUUAUUGUUUAUGAAUUUCAUGAGCCUCACACUACUCAUCCAAGAAAGAGCAGAAAACGAAAGGUGGAUGAGCGGAAUGGGAAUUCGAAUUCUACAACAAUAUUUGAUGGCAGUAAUAGUAAUUUACCCAACUUUGUUUGUCAUUUUCAAUUCACUGAUUUGGAUGUUACAAAACCGUUUUUCUUUUGUGCCCCUGGAGUCCCUUCUGUUGGGCUAAACGGAUUUUGGGUGUAUAUACCAUUUUGGUGGAUAUUACCGACAAUUUGGAGUAAUAGAUUUGGAUCCAUUAAGGCUUCAAUUACAACAGACAGCCUGAAUGUUGAGGUAAAGGAGUGUGGGGCGCGUUUAGUACUACGUGAUGAGCAUGAUGCUUCGGCGUUGUACCAAGUUCUCAACACCAUUUCUCCGCCACGUGCUUUGGGUUUCAAAAGUUGCGAGAAACUUUUUUCUCGUUUGUUCGAUAGAUAUAGCUCAUAUUUCAAGGUCGCGGGCCCAAUUAAAUCUAAUGUUGUAGCAUCUGGAUCAAUUGAGUCGGUUAAUUGUUAGAGGAUUAAAAUUCGCCUCAUAAGAAACAGGUCAAUGGGCAUUAAGAUAAAACAAAAAAUGUUGACGUUUCCAUCCCAGAGGAUUAGACGCGAACCGACAAAGAAAAGGAGAAGAAUAGCGCACGAAUGACGAGCGAACACAGAGCCACCUCACUCCGCAGCUCUACAACUUCGACACUGUACAAGAGUUUUAGAGUCAAAUUUACUAGUUUGUCUUUUCUUGAGGCACUUGAGGAUCCUGUUUUUGUUUCUGGAUCGUCAAAGUCUGAGUCAAAGGAAGAUGACAAGGAUUUAACAUCUCAAUCUUGUAAUCGGAAUGACUCUAUGGAGGACUCCCAUUAGCAGAUACACUUUCACGUAUCUUUGUUCAUUUCUUUUCUCCUUGAUUCUGAAGAGUUGUUGGCUAUCCUUUCAAUACUCUCAAGCCUUUAGAAGGCCAUUGAACAAAUGGGAGAACUCAGAGUUGUUCCUUGCUUGCUUAGCAUCAUUAGAGAGAGCCGUAACAAGGAGAAUUGCAUUGCAACCCUCCAAACCAUCUGUUUUAAUGUGGCCUCUCGGGCCAUUAAUUUGUGUAGUCAUUCUCAAUUACCUUUUUGUAUCUUCUCAUUUUGUCUAGAUUCAGUUUCAGCUUCAUGAGUUAAUUUCUAUGAUUCUGGAAAUAAGUAAAAGGAAGCUUUAUUCAUAAAAUUGUCUCUUGUUUUGUUUUAUUUUGCUUUUACUUGUGAUUUGGUGUUGUAAGGAGGAAGUCUGCAUUUUUGCUGUUUUAGCGAAGAAAAUUUGGAUGAGACGUAAUGUAGUAGUGCAUGGAGGGGUAUUUUCUCAUCCAAAUAGUUUGAUACAGGUGGCAGAAGCAUUACUCUUACAAUUUCAGGGGAAUCCGUGUGUGCAGGGAAGUAAUGUGAAUGGUGGGGUGGAGCCUCCUGUGUCAUGGAAACCACCGGUUUUUGGAAGAUUUAAAGUGAAUUGGGAUGUGGCUCUUGAUACUAAAAACAAUUGUAUGGGUUUGUGUGUUAUUGUAAGGGAUCAUAAAGGAUUAAUACAUGCUGCACUGAGAAAAACUUUAAACUGUUUACAUCCCUCAGCAAUAGCGGAAGCAGUUGGAGCAGUACGAGCUGCUGAAUUUUGUUGUGAUUUGGGCUUGCAUUACGUGGUGUUAGAAGGUGAUUCUUUGAUUGUGGUCCAAGAUAUUCUUGCCUCAGCUUGGAAUUGGUGCGCUCAUGGACAAAUUGUGGCAGAUAUUAGGGUGGUUCUAAACUCUAGAAGGAGUUGGAUGGUCAUGCAUACUAAAAGGGAUGCGAAUCAAGCGGCACAUGGACUAGCCAAGCAAGUAGUUAGGAAUCAAAUGGAUUGUGUUUGGAUAGAGGAAAUUUCCAGCUGUAUUUCAAAUAUUGUCGUUUUAGAGCAUUCUACUCUUUCUAUUUAGAGUGUUUAGCUCUAGAUGUUUAUUGGUAUUAUAAUGAGACGAGAUUUAUUCAAAAAAAAAAAAAAUGGUCCAAUACAUACAACCUUGGAUAUUAUUGGUAGCAACAAAAAUGUUGGUUUCUUUAGCCACAUCCCUAUUUCUCACAUAUGGAGAAGGAUAAUCAUUAUGGAAUGAAGAUGAUCAAGAUCAAGCCCACCGAAGUAGAAUUGGAUGAAGAUUUUGCAAAAGUUAAUGGAUUGGAUCCAGCUAAUUCAGGAUCUAGGAAAUCUGGUCUGAACAAUAAAGUAAGCUAUGAUGCUAGUGAUGCUCUGAUGAUUGGAAAGUCUUGCAAGAAGAUGUGUAGUAGUACCGGUGAUUCUGGAAUCGUAAAUAAUUGUAUACAAUUUUACGAUUAUAUACAUCUCUUCCAUUGGAUCUUGCUUCCAAAUUUAAUCAGCGAAAACACUUGAGGAAGAAUACUAUAUCAAU
Molecule: non-coding RNA, 2813 nt
Organism: Corylus avellana
Lineage: Eukaryota; Viridiplantae; Streptophyta; Magnoliopsida; Fagales; Betulaceae
Source: RefSeq, a predicted model, not a curated record